This 226-nucleotide ribosomal RNA is filed under the name Vibrio sp. SG41-7. RNAcentral describes it as "partial 16S ribosomal RNA". It matches the Rfam family "Bacterial small subunit ribosomal RNA", at positions 1 to 215 of the family's 1533-position model. Lineage: Bacteria; Pseudomonadati; Pseudomonadota; Gammaproteobacteria; Vibrionales; Vibrionaceae. The record is from RNAcentral.
AAAUUGAAGAGUUUGAUCAUGGCUCAGAUUGAACGCUGGCGGCAGGCCUAACACAUGCAAGUCGAGCGGAAACGACAACAUUGAAUCUUCGGAGGAUUUGUUGGGCGUCGAGCGGCGGACGGGUGAGUAAUGCCUAGGAAAUUGCCUUGAUGUGGGGGAUAACCAUUGGAAACGAUGGCUAAUACCGCAUAAUGCCUACGGGCCAAAGAGGGGGAUCUUCGGACCU